RNAcentral lists this transfer RNA (67 nucleotides) under Colpocephalum eucarenum. RNAcentral describes it as "tRNA-Gln". Lineage: Eukaryota; Metazoa; Arthropoda; Insecta; Psocodea; Menoponidae. The record is from RNAcentral.
AAACAUUAGUGUUUAAUGCACAUAGAACUUUGAAUUCUACAGAAAUAGAUAUUCUCUAUUAUGUUUC